RNAcentral lists this long non-coding RNA (663 nucleotides) under Parus major (Great Tit). Its description in RNAcentral is "lncRNA (ENSPMJG00000004267.1)". Lineage: Eukaryota; Metazoa; Chordata; Aves; Passeriformes; Paridae. The record is from RNAcentral.
CUUGAAAGCAGGAUGGCAAAUGAGGGCAUUGUGGUGUAUUCUCAGAGGGAUCUCUUCUAAUAUCUACCAGGGAUGUCUGCAGGGAAUUCCUGUUUUGCUUGCUCAGAAUUGUGUUUGCAGGAAAUUCCUUUUUUACUUUGUUAUGAGUUGUGUUUUUCAAGCUCUCCACAGUUAAACUGGCAGGCUGGAACCAGAGGCAGUCUCUUCAAGGGCUCUGCAGGCAUAUCCAUGCAGCUGUAAAGGACUUUGCUGGUGAGUUCAGACAGCGAGGUGUUUUUUCAGAAAGCACAUGAGGAGGAGAGAGCAGCACUUCACUGAACGAGCUGUACAGCCCUUGGUGCUGCAGCUCAGACCUGGAGAAGCCUUUACAGGUCCGUAUUUUUGUGAUCCUGAGAGUCAGAUGGAGACCCCUGGAGAAAAGGGCAUCUGUCUGCUCCUUGCUAAGAACAAGGUUCCAGGCAGUCUCCUAACAUGGUUCUGGGAUCAGGUUCUGCUUGGAUUUUAUUUGGCAUGUAAGUGCUCUGCUAAGAAAUCUGCAGUGUCUACAUUUAUUUUAAACACAUAUAAAGAUUUUUACUUUAGUAUAGGUACAAUAAUGUUCACAUGGAGUGUGCAGAAAUGCAACCUAAGUGCUUUUAAGGUAGUACAGAAUUUAAUAAAAUA